ACGGGUGAGCAACGCGUGGGAAUCUACCGUGCCCUGCGGAAUAGCUCCGGGAAACUGGAAUUAAUACCGCAUACGCCCUACGGGGGAAAGAUUUAUCGGGGUAUGAUGAGCCCGCGUUGGAUUAGCUAGUUGGUGGGGUAAAGGCCUACCAAGGCGACGAUCCAUAGCUGGUCUGAGAGGAUGAUCAGCCACAUUGGGACUGAGACACGGCCCAAACUCCUACGGGAGGCAGCAGUGGGGAAUAUUGGACAAUGGGCGCAAGCCUGAUCCAGCCAUGCCGCGUGAGUGAUGAAGGCCUUAGGGUUGUAAAGCUCUUUCACCGGAGAAGAUAAUGACGGUAUCCGGAGAAGAAGCCCCGGCUAACUUCGUGCCAGCAGCCGCGGUAAUACGAAGGGGGCUAGCGUUGUUCGGAAUUACUGGGCGUAAAGCGCACGUAGGCGGAUAUUUAAGUCAGGGGUGAAAUCCCAGAGCUCAACUCUGGAACUGCCUUUGAUACUGGGUAUCUUGAGUAUGGAAGAGGUAAGUGGAAUUCCGAGUGUAGAGGUGAAAUUCGUAGA
RNAcentral lists this ribosomal RNA (557 nucleotides) under uncultured bacterium. RNAcentral describes it as "bacterial SSU rRNA". It matches the Rfam family "Bacterial small subunit ribosomal RNA", at positions 102 to 694 of the family's 1533-position model. The record is from RNAcentral.